Amphimedon queenslandica is the source of this 1159-nucleotide long non-coding RNA. RefSeq lists it as uncharacterized. Lineage: Eukaryota; Metazoa; Porifera; Demospongiae; Haplosclerida; Niphatidae. The record is from RefSeq and is a predicted model, not a curated record. The transcript is spliced from 5 exons.
AAGCUAUAUCAGUGUUUGAUGCUCAAGUCCAUUACCUACAUGUACAGGUGUCAGGAGCUUUGCUAUUAAUUUUAAAAUUGACUUGUCUUUUCACUGAUCUUCUAUUGAGAGGACUUCAAAUACUGUCGGAUUUUCAUUUACUCUCCCACGCUGCCUUUGCUUUCCGAAGUAUUUUUCCAGUGGAUCCUGCUGGAUUCUUUUGCUGAGAAAUGAAGUGACUAAUUCAAUGAAAGAGUGUACUACAUGAUGAAUGACAAAUAAAAAUUCUAUUUAAUACUAUUAAUUUUCCAUACCUACAAUACAUAUUCCCUGUAAUGUCUAAGUUGUCUUCUCUCUUUUUUAUAUGCAUCAAGAUCUUCUCUGCUUUAAACUUGUUCUUUCCAUUCAUCCAACCAGUUUAGAAAAUUAUCUUUCAACAACAAGAAAUGGAUACUUAAAUGGCUUUUUGGAUAGAAUACCACUUGAAUAGUUGCUCACAUUAAGGGCAUCAAAAAACUUAUCAAACAUCUCAACAAAGUGAGCAGUUUGUGCUGCUUCUCUUCCAAGACCCAUCCUCUCAAGUCAAAAAGUUGCCUCCAUUACAAUCGAUUCAAGUUUUUAUCCUGUCAAAUGGCUUGAGGGAAAACUGGCAUAUGGAAAAUUGAGAGACCACGAAACAUAACAGUUAACAUUGAAGUAGCGAUCUCAAUUUCUUUUGUGUGAAGCUGUUUAAGAAUAUUGUUCACAUUACCCAGAGUACAAUAUUGGAUUAACUCUCUAGUUGUAUGUGGACAUCAUUUUGAAAUCCUGGUUUGUUAUCUUAUAAUGAGUGUAGUCUCUCAGGAUUCUGCCAGAUGGGAGUACAGUGAAACCCAAAUUGCGAAGGUCAUUUGAACUUGUAGAUGAUGCAUAUAUAAACACCAUUUAACGAGAAGUGGAUGCUAUCGUCUACCAUUAGCAAUUGAAGUUUGGUUUUUCAAUUGUUCCUGCCAAAAGGUCUGGCCAAAUGUCUUUAUACUACCAUCUUUUUUUUAUUUUCAAUAAUGGUGAGUAAUGUAGAGUGCAUUUCAUCAUCUAAUGCAAUGUAGGAAUUGUGCAUAUUUGUUGAUAAUGGAAAUGUUGAUGAUGAAAAAGCAGAAGAGGGAGGAGAUAAAGCAAAAGAGGGAGAAGAUAGUUACAG